Molecule: long non-coding RNA, 4999 nt
Organism: Mytilus californianus (California mussel)
Lineage: Eukaryota; Metazoa; Mollusca; Bivalvia; Mytilida; Mytilidae
Exons: 3
Source: RefSeq, a predicted model, not a curated record
GGAUUUUUAAAGGCAGUGCUUUAAUGCCUUUCUAGUUGCCGGGUUAAUCCUUCCUUCCGCGAUAUCCAACUUAUCUACUUAGGGGGUCAUUAGACUCCAAGUAGAUCCGGAAAUGUUGAAUUCUCUCCUCUUCUUAUUGCGAUAUAAAAUGUUUUUUGUGUCAUUUCAUUUACAUUGGGAAAUAGAGAAACGAUCAUUGUGUUUUGUUAGUUUUAAAAACUUUUGAUAUAUUAGUAUUUUGCAUUAUAAGCAGUCAACCGAUUGACAAACUAGAAUUAUUUGAAUUCCGUGUGGAAAGAGCUCGGGUUAAUUUCGAGUGUUAUCUGCAAUCUAGAUGUUUAUAAAUCAUUUCAGUCGUUGAUAUAAUAAUUAAAGGUCGACUGAACAUGAAUUAUAUUAUACAAUUUAAAGCGCAUUUCUGUUUAUGCACGUAAACCCGUCUAACGUUAUUUUCGCAUUUAUAUAAAGUAGCAAAUUAUCGUUCCUGAAUAGGUGGCGCCGUGGUAGCGGAUCCUGUUCCUCUUCUUCCGGUUUCUGCACUGUGCAACUAUUUCAGUUAUAUUUUUAAUUAACGAUGCCAAAUACUUGUUGUUGUGUACCUGGAUGUCAUUUAAGAGGAGGACAUGCAUUUCCAAAUGACUUAAAAAGAAGGAAAAGUUGGAUCAACUCCAUGGCCCAUACGCAGAUUGGACGAGAACACGAUGAUAUCGUGGAGUCCAUCUCAAUCAGCUGUUGUUUGCAAGGCACGUUUUACUGAAAAAGACUACGUGCAGGAAACUAUUCAUGGGCGCAAACCCACCAUACAGAGACUUAAGUCUACUGCAAUUCCCAGCCUAUUUUCCUGGACCAAGCAAGAGACUGAAUCGUCUGCAAAAAGAAAAAUCAGGGCAGUUUCCUAUGAAAACAAAAGAACUAAACUUGAUGAAUAUUGUAGUAGAUAUCUAGAGGAAAGUUUUGAUUGUAAAGUUGGUUUUCCUGAAGAAGUCAUUCAUACUGCAGAAAGGAUUUAUGACUGUCCACCACCAACUGCCGAGCUAAUGUAGAGCUUCACAGAUGGAAUUACGCAAACACCAUUAAUGCCUAUGUUUUCAGCAGAGAAUUUUGAAAUGAAGACAGGUGACACAGCCAUGCAUUUUUAUACCGGUUUAGAGUUGUAUACUAAAUUUUUAUUUGUUUUGACCACACUUGGUCCAGCAGCACAUUGUUUGAGAUACAUAUAUUUUCAAAUUGAUAGGGUGUCAGUUGAAAAUCAGUUUUUUUAUGACUUUGAUGAAAUUGAGGCAUCAUACAACCAACUUUGAACUGUCUAGAUUCUAGAUUGAAUCUAGUGUUAAGAAUAUUGUGUAUACAUGGAUUGUUUUUAUGUCUAAACAGUGGUGUGAGGCUAACACUUGGCCAUCUAGUGGUUUAGUCAGGUAUUUUUCACCAUCCAACUUCAAAUUAAAGUUUCCUACGACUUGGAUUAUUAUUGACAGCACAGAUUAUCCUGUGAUAAAACCUAAAGCUCCUAGAGCUCAGGCAACCUUUUCAUCAAAUAAAAACAGAAACACUGAAAAUUCUUGAAUGUUCGACACCUGGUGGUUUAGUCAACUAUGUCUCUAUGUCACAUAGAGCGAAUUAUUGGACUUGGCAAAACAUACAAAAUUCUAAUAAAUCUUAUGAAUGGAACUGAAACAAAACUUUCAUCUGAAAUAACAUUUAGUUGUUUUAUGUUGUGUAAUUUUAGAACUUGUAUUGUGCCAAAGGAUGCAUAAAUAAAAGUGACGCAAUGAAUUUUGUUCUGAUAUAUAUAUAUUUACAAUUACAUGCACAUGUAAAUUGUAAUGCAUAUAAAAAUAAGGAGAUGUGGUAUGAUAUUCAGUGAGUUUAUCAAACUAAAGUGCAUAAGAAAUGGGUUAAAGCAGUUACAGGUGUUACUGUCACUGUACAAUCUCCAACAAUGAGAAAAACUCUUACCGUGUAAAAAAUUUCAGAGAUCUUACAACUAAGUUUUGUUGUCUCACCUUGACUUUGGUGAAUUUUUUAUAUCUGUUGAUGUAAAUAUAAAAAAGAAGAUGUGGUAUGAUUGCCAAUGAGACAACUCUCCACACAUGCACAAGAGACCAAAUGACACAGAAAUUAACAGCUAUAGGUCACAGUACGGCCUUCAACAAUGAGCAAAGCCCAUACCGCACAGUCAGCUAUAAAAGGCCCAGAAAUGACAAUGUAAAACAAUUCAAACAAGAAAACUAACGGCCUAUUUUAUGUAAAAAAAUGAACAAAUAUAACAAAUAUGCAACACAUAAACAAACGACAACCACUGAAUUACACUUUUAUAGGCUGCUGACUUGGGACAGGCACAUACAUGUACAUACAGAAUGUGGCGGGCUUAAACAUGUUAGCGGGAUCCCAACCCUCCCCCUAACCUGGGACAGUGGUGUAACAGUACAAUAUAAGAAAGAACUAUAAAAAUCAGUUGAAAGAGGCUAAACUCAUCAGAUGGAUAAAUACAAAUACAAGUGGACGUGGUCAGGUAGUUGUACAUCCAAACAACAAAAAGACACUAAGUACAAAUCUGAGAGUACUCGCAGUUACUGACAGCUAGUUCAAAGCCACUAACAACUGAUAAAAAAAUCUUGCAUCUAAGACUAAAUUAUCAAUCCGUAAGCUCCCUUUAGAAUUUUAUAAAUUUUAGAUUUUACAUUUCUGAGUUAUGGGGUUUUAUUCAUUAAAAAAGGGGGGAUUUUCCAGUUUUUGGACAACAACUCAAAAAUGCUUUAAGCAGUUCACAUGAAACUUUGGUGAAUUAUUUAUAGCUAUUGAUGUAAUCUCCCUAUUGAUUUUCAUAAAUUUCAAAUAUGACAUUGAGAAGAAAUUGAACUUUAUUUGUUUAUAGUCUGGCAACAGAUUUAUUAAGUAUUGCACAACAGCACAGUGUAUUUCACAACAGCAAGAAAUCUUUAAUUGAAUAUAAAUUCAAUUCAUAUAACCGAUUUCAAGUUCAUUGACUACAUUUAUUCAGAAACUAUAAUAUGUCAAAUAUUUAAUUACAAUCCAAAUUCAGACCUGUAUCAAGCUUGAAUAUUGUGUCCAUUUUUGCCCCAGCUGUUCAGGGUAGUACCUCUGCGGGUGUAUCCAGCUGCGCUCAGCGAAUCAGUUUAUUUCUUAAUUAAGAACUUUUUAUACGACCGCAAAAAAAUUUUUGUGGUCGUAUAUUGGUAUGAUGUUGGCGUCGUCGUCCGAAGACACAUUAGUUUUCGCACUCUAACUUUAGUUUAAGUGAAUGGAUCUCAAUGAAAUUUUAAAAUAAGGUUCAAUACCACAAAGGGAAAGUGGGGAUUGAUUUUGGGGGUUAUGGUACCAACAGUUAAGGAAUUAGGGGCCAAAAAUAAGCAUUUUUGUAACUUCCAGACAUAACUUGUGUGUAAGUGUAUGGAUCUCUCUGACAUUGUACCACAAGGUUCCAUAUCACAAAGGGAAUGCUGGGAUUGAUUUUUUGGGGUAAUUGCCUCCAAAUUUUAGGAAUUAGGGGCCAAAAAGGGGCAAAAAACAAGCAUUUUUAUAGUUUCAUGACAAUAACUUGUGUGCAAUUCUAUGGAUCUCUCUGACAUUGUAUCACAAGAUUCCAUAUCACAAAGGGAAUGCUGGGAUUGAAUUUGGGGGUAAUUGCCUCCAAAUUUUAGGAAUUAGGGGCCAAAAAGGGGCAAAAAACAAGCAUUUUUCUAGUUUCAUGGCAAUAACUUGUGUGUAAGUGUAUGGAUCUUUAUGAAAUUGUACUACAAGGUUCCAUAUCACAAAGGGAAAGCUGGGUUUGAGUUUGGGGGUAAUUGCCCUAAACGUUUAGGAAUUUGGGACCAAAAAGGGGCCAAAAAACAAGCAUUUUUCUAGUUUCCAGACAAUAACAUGUGUUCAAGUGUAUGGAUCUUUAUGAAAUUGUACUGCAAGGUACCAUACCACAAAGGGAAGGCUGGGAUUGAGUUUUGGGGUGAUGAAUCAUAAGGGGGUUCAAAAAAUUUUGGGGGGAUUCUUUUUCCUUUUUUUUCUUUAAAAUUUUCCAUUUUAAAUUGGUUAUUUCUGAUUUAUAUAUAAAAGCAAAUAAUAAUGAUAUGGUUUGAAUAGGUAAAUUAAAUUUUUUUAAGUAUCUUAGACCACUUUCAUUCUGUGUCAGAAACCUAUGCUGUGUCAAAUAUUUAAUUACAAUCCAAAUUCAGAGCUGAAUCAAGCUUGAAUGUUGUGUUCAUACUUGCCCCAACUGUUCAGGGUUCGACCUCUGCGGUCGUAUCAAGCUGCGCCCCAGCGGAGCAUUUUAUUUCAUUCAUAAAUUACUUUAUGCUUGGAAAUAUAAUUUUGCUUGGAGUUGAAAGAGUUGACAUGUUGCAAUGUACAUUUACUCUACAUAGUUCUAUGGUACCAAAUCAAAAGUUUAUAUAAAGAAAGAAGUCAAAGGUUUCCCAUCAUAGUUUAGUUACAUACAUUUUUUUUGUACCUGAGGUCGUUGAAUAUAGAUCAUUAUAUAAAUAAGGAGAUGUGUUAUGAUUGCCAAUGAAAAAACUAAGGAUUUUCUUAUCCAAGGAAUAGAUUACCUUAGCCGUAUUUGGCACAACUUUUUGGAAUUUUGGGUCCUCAAUGCUCUUCAACUUUGUACUUGUUUGGCUUUGUUACUAUUUUGAUCUGAACGUCACUGAUGAGUCUUAUGUAGACGAAACACACGUCUGGCGUAUUAAAUUAUAAUCCUGGUACCUUUGAUAACUAAUUUGACUAUAAACAUAGAUAAAAAAGGUACAAACUGGACAUAAUGCACUAGUUCAUAAACAAGUGAGAACAAUCGCCUUCAUAUAGUGCUCAGAAUAUGACAUUCAUAAAACUUAUUCAAUAUCAUUAGAGAACUCUAAAUCUUAAAUACUGAAAGCCACCUCUGAUAAGUACACUGUACUAUGCAAGAUAAUGAUAUAACUGGACUUAAAAUACACACAACCUGUAAUUAACUGCCUUUACAGCGCUUUCGUGCUUUGAUUGAAAU